UGAGGAAUCUUGCGCAAUGGGGGAAACCCUGACGCAGCAACGCCGCGUGAGUGAGGAAGGUCUUCGGGUCGUAAAGCUCUGUCAGAUGGAAAGAAAUGCAUGGGGGUUAAUAGCUUCCAUGCUUGACGGUACCAUCAGAGGAAGCACCGGCUAACUCCGUGCCAGCAGCCGCGGUAAUACGGGGGGUGCAAGCGUUGUUCGGAAUCAUUGGGCGUAAAGAGCGUGUAGGCGGCUUGACAAGUCAGAUGUGAAAGCCCUGGGCUUAACCCAGGAAGUGCAUUUGAAACUGUCAGGCUUGAGUAGGGGAGAGGGAAGUGGAAUUCCUGGUGUAGAGGUGAAAUUCGUAGAUAUCAGGAGGAACACCGGUGGCGAAGGCGACUUCCUGGCCCUAUACUGACGCUGAGACGCGAGAGCGUGGGUAGCAAACAGG
This 430-nucleotide ribosomal RNA is filed under the name uncultured bacterium. RNAcentral's name for it is "bacterial SSU rRNA". It matches the Rfam family "Bacterial small subunit ribosomal RNA", at positions 355 to 776 of the family's 1533-position model. The record is from RNAcentral.